GGUGGGACUACCCGCUGAACUUAAGCAUAUCAAUAAGCGGAGGAAAAGAAACUAACAAGGAUUCCCUUAGUAACUGCGAGUGAACCGGGAUGAGCUCAAAUUUAAAAUCUGGCGGCCUUGUCGUCCGAGUUGUAAUCUGGAGAAGCGUUUUCCGCGUCAGACCGUGUACAAGUCUCUUGGAAUAGAGCGUCAUAGAGGGUGAGAAUCCCGUCCAUGACACGGACUCCUAAUGCUAUGUGAUACGCUCUCAAAGAGUCGAGUUGUUUGGGAAUGCAGCUCMAAAUGGGUGGUAAAUUCCAUCUAAAGCUAAAUAUUGGCGAGAGACCGAUAGCGAACAAGUACCGUGAGGGAAAGAUGAAAAGCACUUUGGAAAGAGAGUUAAACAGUACGUGAAAUUGUUGAAAGGGAAACGCUUGAAGUCAGUCGCGUCGUAUGGGGCUCAGCCGGUCUUUUGACUGGUGUAUUCUCUGUGUCGACGGGUCAACAUCAAUUUUGACCGGUGGAGAAGGGCUUAGGGAAUGUAGCGUCGUUUCGGCGACGUGUUAUAGCCCUAGGUCGUAUACAUCGGUUGGGAUUGAGGACCGCAGCACGCCCUUGUGGCCGGGGGUUCGCCCCACGUUUCGUGCUUAGGAUGU
Molecule: ribosomal RNA, 635 nt
Filed under: uncultured Basidiomycota
Lineage: Eukaryota; Fungi; Basidiomycota
Description: LSU rRNA
Rfam family: Eukaryotic large subunit ribosomal RNA
Source: RNAcentral